GACGAGGGGUCCAAGCGUUGUCCGGAUUUAUUGGGCGUAAAGAGCUCGUAGGCGGUUUCGUAAGUCGGAUGUGAAAACUCCAGGCUCAACUUGGAGACGCCAUUCGAUACUGCGAUGACUUGAGUCCGGUAGGGGAGUGUGGAAUUCCACGUGUAGCAGUGAAAUGCGUAGAGAUGUGGAGGAACACCGAUGGCGAAGGCAGCCCCCUGGGUUAACACUGACGCUCAGGCACGAAAGCGUGGGGAGCAAACAGG
RNAcentral lists this ribosomal RNA (254 nucleotides) under uncultured bacterium. RNAcentral's name for it is "partial 16S ribosomal RNA". It matches the Rfam family "Bacterial small subunit ribosomal RNA", at positions 524 to 776 of the family's 1533-position model. The record is from RNAcentral.